This 70-nucleotide transfer RNA is filed under the name Dipodomys ordii (Ord's kangaroo rat). It matches the Rfam family "tRNA". From Rfam's summary of the family: Transfer RNA (tRNA) molecules are approximately 80 nucleotides in length. Their secondary structure includes four short double-helical elements and three loops (D, anti-codon, and T loops). Lineage: Eukaryota; Metazoa; Chordata; Mammalia; Rodentia; Heteromyidae. The record is from Rfam by way of RNAcentral.
GGUAAUGUGGCUUAGUGGUAGAGCGCUUGCCUAGCAUGCACAAAGCCUUGGGUUUGACUCCUCAGUACCA